UCCUACGGGGGGCAGCAGUGGGGAAUAUUGCACAAUGGGGGAAACCCUGAUGCAGCGACGCCGCGUGAGUGAAGAAGUAUUUCUGUAUGUAAAGCUCUAUCAGCAGGGAAGAUAAUGACGGUACCUGAGUAAGAAGCCCCGGCUAACUACGUGCCAGCAGCCGCGGUAAUACGUAGGGGGCAAGCGUUAUCCGGAAUUACUGGGUGUAAAGGGAGAGUAGGCGGCAAGGUAAACGAUAUGUGAAAGC
RNAcentral lists this ribosomal RNA (247 nucleotides) under uncultured bacterium. RNAcentral's name for it is "partial 16S ribosomal RNA". It matches the Rfam family "Bacterial small subunit ribosomal RNA", at positions 337 to 601 of the family's 1533-position model. The record is from RNAcentral.